This 327-nucleotide ribosomal RNA is filed under the name uncultured Bacteroidota bacterium. RNAcentral describes it as "bacterial SSU rRNA". It matches the Rfam family "Bacterial small subunit ribosomal RNA", at positions 28 to 351 of the family's 1533-position model. Lineage: Bacteria; Pseudomonadati; Bacteroidota. The record is from RNAcentral.
GAUGAACGCUAGCGGCAGGCUUAACACAUGCAAGUCGAGGGGCAGCACAGGUAGCAAUACUGGGUGGCGACCGGCGCACGGGUGCGUAACGCGUAUACAAUUUACCUUUUACUAGGGGAUAGCCCAGAGAAAUUUGGAUUAAUACCUCAUAGUAUUAUGAAUUGGCAUCGAUUUAUAAUUAAAGUUCCAACGGUACAAGAUGAGCAUGCGUCCCAUUAGUUAGUUGGUAAGGUAACGGCUUACCAAGACAAUGAUGGGUAAGGGGUCCUGAGAGGGAGAUCCCCCACACUGGUACUGAGACACGGACCAGACUCCUACGGGUGGCAG